This 450-nucleotide long non-coding RNA is filed under the name Aquila chrysaetos chrysaetos. Its description in RNAcentral is "lncRNA (ENSACCG00020001435.1)". The record is from RNAcentral. Lineage: Eukaryota; Metazoa; Chordata; Aves; Accipitriformes; Accipitridae.
GCAACCGGCGGCGCCCGCCCGCCGAGCGGCCCCGCUCCAGAAGGUUCGGGCCGGGUCCCGGCGCGGUUCCCCGCGGGGAGCAGCCCCACGCGUGGGGCCCCACGCCGCUCCUCCCCACGCCGCCCCUCGGGCUGCCUCUCCCGAAGACCCGUUUUUGCCCGGCGAGGCCCCCGGUCCGGCCCGGCCCGGCUUGGGGAGGGGUGUGCAGGCCCCGGCGGGGAGCAGGCCCGGCCUUCACCUCAGCUCCUGUCAGGCGUUUGCAGAACUGUAAUAUGGAAAUCCAGCCGCUGCCUCCAGAGAUGUGGAGACCUGCAGUGUCCAGAGGAAGGUGCCCGUCUCUCCCGUCAUGGCUGUGCUGGAAUCCAUCCCCUUUCACCAGGAGCACAGAAAAAGUGGAAAAUAGAACAGCAACAACAAAACCUUUGCAUAGGCAAGAUUCCUAAAUGCUAA